ACACGACCGUGCCGCAAACCGACACUGGUGCGCGAGAUGAGUAUUCUCAGGCGCUUGAGAGAACUCGGGAGAAGGAACUCGGCAAAUUGACACCGUAACUUCGGAAGAAGGUGUGCCUUUAGUAGGUGAAGGGAUUUACUCCUGGAGCCCAAUGAGGUUGCAAAAAAUCGGUGGCUGCGACUGUUUAAUAAAAACACAGCACUCUGCAAACACGAAAGUGGACGUAUAGGGUGUGACGCCUGCCCGGUGCUGGAAGAUUAAGUGAUGGGGUGCAAGCUCUUGAUCGAAGUCCCAGUAAACGGCGGCCGUAACAAUAACGGUCCUAAGGUAGCGAAAUUCCUUGUCGGGUAAGUUCCGACCUGCACGAAUGGCGUAACGAUGGCCACACUGUCUCCUCCCGAGACUCAGCGAAGUUGAAAUGUUUGUGAUGAUGCAAUCUCCCCGCGGAAAGACGGAAAGACCCCAUGAACCUUUACUGUAGCUUUGUAUUGGACUUUGAACGAAUCUGUGUAGGAUAGGUGGGAGGCUUUGAAGCAGGGUCGCUAGAUCUUGUGGAGCCAACGUUGAAAUACCACCCUGGUGCGUUUGGGGUUCUAACCUAGGCCCGUGAUCCGGGUCGGGGACAGUGCAUGGUAGGCAGUUUGACUGGGGCGGUCUCCUCCCAAAGCGUAACGGAGGAGUUCGAAGGUACGCUAGUUACGGUCGGACAUCGUGACGAUAGUGCAAUGGCAUAAGCGUGCUUAACUGCGAGACUGACAAGUCGAGCAGAUGCGAAAGCAGGACAUAGUGAUCCGGUGGUUCUGUAUGGAAGGGCCAUCGCUCAUCGGAUAAAAGGUACUCUGGGGAUAACAGGCUGAUACCGCCCAAGAGUUCAUAUCGACGGCGGUGUUUGGCACCCCGAUGUCGGCUCAUCUCAUCCUGGGGCUGUAGCCGGUCCCAAGGGUAUGGCUGUUCGCCAUUUAAAGAGGUACGUGAGCUGGGUUUAAAACGUCGUGAGACAGUUUGGUCCCUAUCUUCCGUGGGCGCUGCAGAUUUGAGGAAGCCUGCUCCUAGUACGAGAGGACCGGAGUGGACGCACCUCUGGUGUACCUGUUGUCACGCCAGUGGCAUUGCAGGGUAGCUAAGUGCGGAAGAGAUAACCGCUGAAAGCAUCUAAGCGGGAAACUCGUUUCAAGAUGAGAUCUGCCGGGGCCUUGAGCCCCCUGAAGAGUCGUUCUAGACCAGGACGUUGAUAGGUCAGGUGUGGAAGCGCAGUAAUGCGUUAAGCUAACUGAUACUAAUUG
Molecule: ribosomal RNA, 1283 nt
Filed under: metagenome
Description: bacterial LSU rRNA
Rfam family: Bacterial large subunit ribosomal RNA
Source: RNAcentral